Long non-coding RNA from Dromaius novaehollandiae (emu), 483 nucleotides. RefSeq lists it as uncharacterized. The transcript has 3 exons. NCBI's taxonomy places the organism in Eukaryota, Metazoa, Chordata, Aves, Casuariiformes, Dromaiidae. The record is from RefSeq and is a predicted model, not a curated record.
CUGAGGCCGAGAAGCAAGAAGUAAUUUGAUGUCAGGAAGUUGAUGACAGAACACAGCUGAGACUCCUGGGGACAAACUGAACCACAAUCAUAAAUGAAUAUGUAGAAAAGCACAGGUCACAGGAGAGACAACAGGGGACUGCACUAGUGACCCCACUAUACCGUUCUGCUAAUUAGCUGUGUUGACAUCAGACUAUUACUCUGCAGUUCCUGGAAUCUCCUUUGGAAGAUCUCCUGCCUUCACAUAAACCAUCUUCCAGUCCUCUGGAGUUUUUUCACUUAUAUCUAGAUUAUUCAAUAUCUGUUUUGUAAUAAUCACACCAUUCUUCCUAUGUAUGUAAAUUCAUGCAAUAUUUUUGUUACGAAAUGAAUCUUAAGUUAUACUGGAUAGGAUCAGCUUUAAGACUGUUUAUUGUUUACUUUUACAGUAAUUACAUUACUUCAGUGAGGAAAAAAAUACAUAAUUCAUCUUUUUUAAUGAAAA